Molecule: ribosomal RNA, 255 nt
Filed under: Triticum aestivum (bread wheat)
Lineage: Eukaryota; Viridiplantae; Streptophyta; Magnoliopsida; Poales; Poaceae
Description: partial small subunit ribosomal RNA
Source: RNAcentral
CGAAGAAGAAUAGUGAUGUUGGGUUGUAAUGAUCCUGCAUUCACUUGGUGCAAUAAGCGCUUUACUUCUAUGCCUACUUAUGAGAGACUUGAUCGUUGUUUUGCAAAUGCGGAAUGGUGUAAUGAAUUUCCUAAUAUUGUUGUUUAUAACCUUCCUACUAUGUACAGUGAUCAUGCUCCUAUUCUUACUGUAUCAAAUCCUAUGACCGUCAAAUCCAAAAGAACUUUUAAAUUAGAACAUUUGGUGGUUGAUUGA